Molecule: ribosomal RNA, 779 nt
Filed under: uncultured Neocallimastigales
Lineage: Eukaryota; Fungi; Neocallimastigomycota; Neocallimastigomycetes; Neocallimastigales
Description: partial large subunit ribosomal RNA
Rfam family: Eukaryotic large subunit ribosomal RNA
Source: RNAcentral
CGUCUAUAUACGUAUAGCAUAUCAAUAAGCGGAGGAAAAGAAACUAACUAGGAUUCCCUCAGUAACGGCGAGUGAAGCGGGAAGAGCUCAAAUUUGAAAUCUUCAAGGUUCUACCUUGACGAAUUGUAGUUUAAAGAAGUGUUUUCUGUUGGAAUUUUGGUAAAAGUUCUUUGGAAAUAGGACAUCAAUAGAGGGUGAGAAUCCCGUAUUUGACCAUUAUUUCCAGCUUUGUGAUACACUUUCAAAGAGUCGGAUUGUUUGGGAAUGCAGUCCAAAAUGGGUGGUAAAUUUCAUCUAAAGCUAAAUACUGGCGAGAGACCGAUAGCGAACAAGUACCGUGAGAGAAAGAUGAAAAGAACUUUGAAAAGAGAGUUAAACAGUACGUGAAAUUGUCAAAAGGGAAGCGUUUGACACCAGUGUUGUUUUCUCGAAAAUCAAUUAAAAAUGGCUGGGAUUUUGUGUUGUAUUGACUUUAUCAGCUUUCUGCACUUUUUUCCUGUCUUUUUUAAUGCACUUUUCGUUUAACAAGUCAACAUCAAUUUCUUUUGUUGUAAAAGAGGUCAUUGGAAGGUGGCUUUCUUUUCGGAGAAAGUGUUUAUAGCCUUUGACUUCUGCAAUCGGAGAGAUUGAGGUCUGCAGCGUAGAUCCUUCGGGGUUAGAUAGCAUUUGUGCUAAGUUAUAGCCUUUCAUAGACAACUUGUUGACUAUGAUCAGUCAUGUAGCUUACUCGCUUAUGCUAUUUUACCUACGCUUAGGAUGUUGACGAUCAGCUGAGCGCG